Molecule: ribosomal RNA, 133 nt
Filed under: Castor canadensis (American beaver)
Lineage: Eukaryota; Metazoa; Chordata; Mammalia; Rodentia; Castoridae
Source: RNAcentral
GUCUAUGACCAUACCACCCUGAACACACCCAAUCUCAUCGGAUCUCAGGAGCUAAUCAGGGUUGGUCCUGGUUAGUACUUGGAUGAGAGAAUGAAUGUUACCUUUAUUGAGAAACAUUUGUCAGUAUUAGAGA